RNAcentral lists this long non-coding RNA (232 nucleotides) under Oryza sativa (Asian cultivated rice). RNAcentral's name for it is "long non-coding RNA (OSAT_LNC001712)". Lineage: Eukaryota; Viridiplantae; Streptophyta; Magnoliopsida; Poales; Poaceae. The record is from RNAcentral.
UCCCUAUCCAAUCGCGUGGCCUCGCAUCGCCUCGCCUAGCCGCCGAAUCCGUAGAGGGUGCGGCCCUGGCGCUUGAGCGCGUAGACGACGUCCAUGGCGGUGACGGUCUUGCGGCGGGCGUGCUCCGUGUAGGUGACGGCGUCGCGGAUGACGUUCUCGAGGAAGAUCUUGAGCACGCCGCGGGUCUCCUCGUAGAUCAGCCCGGAGAUGCGCUUCACGCCGCCCCUCCUCG